Molecule: long non-coding RNA, 585 nt
Filed under: Musa acuminata (dwarf banana)
Lineage: Eukaryota; Viridiplantae; Streptophyta; Magnoliopsida; Zingiberales; Musaceae
Description: long non-coding RNA (MACU_LNC006330)
Source: RNAcentral
ACGAUACACCACUACCACAGUUGUGUGCGUUUCCAGGGAGGGAGAUUUGAAGCUAUUUAAAGCCAUUGGGGAUGAUGAACAACAGCAGAUUAGGUUUCGCAUUCUACAUUAUUUUUUACUCUUUUCUUUCGAUUGAUUGAUGUCUUAAGUUAGAAUUUGCCGCCCAUGACCGACUAAAACACUUAUCAACAUCAUCAGGUCAUCGUCACGAUUCACCAUCCCGUCUCGUCCCCACCCCGCACUACUGCAUGCGUGGCUGUCGCGAGAGCCAGCCAAUCCCUCACAUGGUCCACCACAGUGCCUGCGAGGGUGAUCGGACAGUGGCAAGCAUUUGUACGAGUGAGUGAAGGUGUGCAUGGAAAGACAACGUGGUUUACUGGUAAGGCUCUUCCAUUAUUGGCACUAAGGGGAGCAGGUGAGAGGCACACAAGAGAAGAUGCGUGUAGGAGCCUGAGACAAGCACUAGCGUACGCCUCGGGCUUUGGCGGACUCGACCACAAAGAAAGUGAUGAGUGAUUCACUCGGUGGAGAGGAACUCGCUUUGACAUGACUGAUUGAAACAAAGCUCUGAAUCCAAGCAAGCAC